AGGGGAUUUAAAGACUGCCAACAAACCUGACACAGUCGCACACCCAAUGAGCAUGAUCCUUGGUGGUUUGACUGUUUUGCUCACUAUAGUAGUCCUAAUACAGGCUGUAAAAAUCUGGAAACUCCAAAAAGCUGUGAAUGGAGGAUCACAA
Acanthochromis polyacanthus (spiny chromis) is the source of this 151-nucleotide long non-coding RNA. RefSeq lists it as uncharacterized. Lineage: Eukaryota; Metazoa; Chordata; Actinopteri; Pomacentridae. The transcript is spliced from 3 exons. The record is from RefSeq and is a predicted model, not a curated record.